This is a long non-coding RNA of Myotis daubentonii (Daubenton's bat), 910 nucleotides long. RefSeq lists it as uncharacterized. NCBI's taxonomy places the organism in Eukaryota, Metazoa, Chordata, Mammalia, Chiroptera, Vespertilionidae. The record is from RefSeq and is a predicted model, not a curated record.
CUUCUGAAACUUAGACGCUCUGGGGUGCUGGUAAAAUGGGCCCUCGAACCUGAAGACCAGACUCCAAAUUCUUGAUGAACUCCCAAGGUGCAGCCUCUCUCUACCUGUGACAUCUCUUUACCACAGCAGUGCUCAGGUGCCAGACGUGGAGUUAUCAUCACUGGGCAAGAAGACCCGGAGGCUGAGGCCCCUUCAGUGAUGCCGAUGUGGAGCCGGAUUUGGGGGACCCUUUGCUAUGGACCAGGGUUUGCCAUCGAACAGGAAUCAUAAACUCAUCCAGAGGAGCCAAGCAGGUCAACCUGACCAGUGAAGCUGGGAGGUGUGUGGACAGGAGAGCGACGGGGACUGCGGUGCCUGGAGAACAUGAAGACAGUGAUGCCACUCUGCUCCCGUGGGAAUGCAGAACGCCAGACCCUGCAGGGAUCAGAAACAGUUUGUAAAAUGGAAUGAGAAGGGGCAGGAGAGGAGGCCAGAGAGAAGCAGCCGAGAACUCAUCUCCUUCCACCGUCACAUCUCACCCGUCCAGCCUGUGGCCGCCCGGGCUGGAGGAGAGAGAGGAGGAACUCCAACGCCCAAUUAAGGCUGAAGUUGUAAUUCUUACCUAGGCUGCCAUUCUAAUUCCUCAUCGCCACUUUAUUAUGCCACUUAGAAAAUGACGGAGCACUUUUAUUACCUCUGAGAAACAUGCUUUGUCUUGCCUCGGGGUAAGGGAGAGAUAGCCCUGGGUGCAGAUUUAAAGAGAGAGUGGGAGUCAAAAAUGAAUUUGCUUUCAGAUUCCAUUGUACCAGUUGUGCUGGUUCAAUGUAAACGCUACAGAUAGAAACAGGAGAAGGGCCUCGGGCAAAGGUCUACCCUCAGCCGAUCCUCGCUCUAUUUGGAAAAGCAAACCUAGAUAGACUUGUCUCUCCCA